This 460-nucleotide ribosomal RNA is filed under the name uncultured bacterium. Its description in RNAcentral is "partial 16S ribosomal RNA". It matches the Rfam family "Bacterial small subunit ribosomal RNA", at positions 338 to 795 of the family's 1533-position model. The record is from RNAcentral.
CCUACGGGGGACAGCAGUGAGGAAUAUUGGUCAAUGGCCGGAAGGCUGAACCAGCCAUGCCGCGUGAAGGUCAGUGCCCUAUGGGCGUUAAACUUCUUUUGUGCGGGAGCAAUAAUGGUCACGUGUGGCCAGACGAGAGUACCGUACGAAUAAGCAUCGGCUAACUUCGUGCCAGCAGCCGCGGUAAUACGGGGGAUGGCAGCGUUUUCCGGAUUUAUUGGGUUUAAAGGGUGCGUAGGCUGUGAGGUAAGUCAGCGGGGAAAUGCCCCCGCUCAACGGGGUGAAGUGCCAUUGAUACUGCCUGGCUGGAAUGCGGAUGCCGUGGGAGGAAUGUGUGGUGUAGCGGUGAAAUGCAUAGAUAUCACACAGAACACCGAUUGCGAAGGCAUCUCACGAAUCCGCGAUUGACGCUGAUGCACGAAAGCGUGGGUAUCAAACAGGAUUAGAUACCCCUGUAGUC